AUGGAAGUGAUGGUCAAGGAACAUGGGAUCAAUUCUUUCAAGUUCUUCAUGGCAUAUAAAGGUUCCUUGAUGGACGACCUCCUCCUUGAAGGCUUACAGAAAUGCAAGUCUCUUGGUGCACUGGCUAUGGUUCAUGCAGAGAACGGGGAUGCUGUUGCUGAGGGACAGCAGCGGAUGAUUGACCUUGGGAUAACUGGUCCAGAAGGGCAUGCUCUCUCAAGACCUCCAGUUUUGGAAGGCGAGGCAACUUCACGGGCAAUUCGAUUAGCAAAAUUCGUCAAUACACCGUUGUAUGUUGUUCAUGUGAUGAGUACUGAUGCAAUGGAAGAGAUUGCCAAGGCUAAAAGAGAAGGUCAGAGAGUCAUCGGGGAACCUGUGGUAUCUGGGCUAGUCCUUGAUGAUUCUUGGCUUUGGGAUCCUGACUUUGCAACUGCUUCAAAGUAUGUGAUGAGUCCUCCAAUCCGGGAAGCAGGGCAUAAUAAAGCACUUCAAGCUGCUCUUUCAUCAGGAAUAUUACAGGAAGAUUCCCAAUGGCGUAAAUGGUAA
This 546-nucleotide ribosomal RNA is filed under the name Triticum aestivum (bread wheat). RNAcentral's name for it is "partial small subunit ribosomal RNA". Lineage: Eukaryota; Viridiplantae; Streptophyta; Magnoliopsida; Poales; Poaceae. The record is from RNAcentral.